RNAcentral lists this long non-coding RNA (918 nucleotides) under Camarhynchus parvulus. Its description in RNAcentral is "lncRNA (ENSCPVG00000017295.1)". The record is from RNAcentral. Lineage: Eukaryota; Metazoa; Chordata; Aves; Passeriformes; Thraupidae.
CCCCUUUUUCUCUUUUUCCUCUCUCCUUUCCCCUCCCCUUUUCCCCCUUUUCCCCAUUCCCUUUUCCUCCUUAUUCCCUUUCCCUUUUCUCCCUUUUUUCCAUUUUCUCCCUUUUUUCCCUUCCUCCUUUUUUCCUUUUAUUCUUCCUUUUGUUUUCCUUUUUCCUUCCUUUCCCCCUUUUCCCCUCUUUUAUCCCCCCUUUCCCCUUUUUCCCCUUUUUCCCCUUUCCCCCUUUUCCCCUUUCCCCAUUUCCCUCCUUUCCUCCCCUUUUUCUCCUUUUCCCCUCCUUUCCCCUCUCCUUUUUUCCCCUUCCCUUUUCCUCUUUAUUCCCUUUCCCCUUUUCCCCUUUCCCCCCUUGCAUUCCCCCCCCGCAAUUCCCGAUCCCGGCCGGAUUUCCCUCCCCCCCCAACCCCGGGAAUUUCGGGAAUUCCGGGAAUUCCGGGAAUUGUGGGAUGGCUGUGUGCGCGGCAGGCGUACCUGGAGAUGAACUACAAGGAGGCCGUGAUCGCCGCCGUCAAGUUCGGGGAGACGGCGCCGCUGCUGCUCAACGGGAAACGCGUGCGGGUCAGCGUGGCCGAGAGAGAGCAGGCGUAAAAACCGGUGAAGAAACGAGUCCUGAACCCCAAAAAAACUCCAGCAAGCACCAAGUAAGACCCUCGUUAAUUAAUUCAUGUUAAUUACAAGAAUUGGGAACCCCGGGCGCUCAAACUUGCACCUUUAAUUGGGGGCUAAUAAUUAAUAAUUAUUAAUGAAAUUAAUUUUUUUGCAUCUUUUUUUCUCCUCCCAGGAAAGUCCCGAGCACCAACAGCAAGAGCCCCAAAGUCCUGACAGGUGAGGUUGAUCCUCAUUAGCUAAUUAAUAAUUAAUUAGUAAUUAAUUCUUAAUUGGCGAGCUUAAUUAAUGAAUUAAUUGCCGUAA